UCCUUGGCUUAUAAACUCUCUCUCUCUCUCUCUCUCUCAAGACUCCUCUUCUUGCUACAAAGACCACAUUAUCACUAUGUCACACCCCCAAACCAGACGGCGGAAACGUCCGGGGGCUUGUGCGUGACUUCAUCUUGAAAUAUCAUUACAGUGAAUAUAAUUGAAACAUAACAUCAUCAUCAUCACACAUGUAAUAUAACAACAUUCAUUGUUUACAUCGAGUAUUGUAUUUGAAUAUUACAUGCCAAAAUACUAAGAGUAUGAUGAUACAAAAUAUAACACCAUAUCGAUUAGUUUGUUUUGUUCAUCCUGCUUCAACGAUUUUAUGAGAAUACAAGUUAUUUUGGAAAACGGUCAACAUAGCUCAUAAGCAUGUUUGUGAAAAUGAUUUGUAUAACUUUGAAAACCACCAGAAAAAUCGAUAUUUUUCUGAAAACUGUUUAGUGUGUUUGUGUUAGAUCUCAUAUUAAUGCAUGUAUGUUAUUGUUUAUUUGACUAAAAAGGUAAAGAGAAUGUAGAGAGAAUGUAAGAGCAUGUAAAUAGAAUGUUCCCAGACAACCCGAUGUUGCCUGUAAAAAAAAUGGUCUUCCGUAAACUUCAUAACGUUAAUUCUUCUAAGCGAGCCGUCGUAACUAUACUAAAUAAUGACAAUUUCGCCUAUCUUGGUGUCGUUGGACGCCGGUUUUGACUUUGAUUAUACGGUUUUCGUCACCCUAGACUGAGUUAGUCUAACUGUAGCGAACAGCUAAGGUGUGGGGUGUCAUCCCCGUAUAGAUCUAUACACAAAUACCCAUUCUCCCUCCAAGAGACUCUGGUUAUAACUACAGGCUAUGAUCGUACACUUAAUAGGUGCCAACCGACAAAACCUCGCUAGAUCCUUAAUCGAAUUUUCACGAAGAAAAAGGUAUAAACUCAUUCCAGGACCAAUGAUCCAUGUAAGUGAACCACUAAGGCAUCGCUAAACAUGUAAAUUAUUUCAAGACCCAAAUGGAAUGAGAUCAUAUAACAUGGGCCCGAAAUAUAUAUGAAAGGACAACUAAGGCCCAUUUCACAUGUAUAGUAUUUACAGGCCCAAAUAGCACACAAAUAGUAUCCAAGGUCCGUCGCACAUAUUAAUGGGUCAAUGAGGCCCAAUAAACAUAUACCGAACCUCUCACACAUAAAAAUGGUCCACUAAGGCCCAAUAACCUAGAAAAUGAUCAAAUUAAAUGCAUUUGUUGGUUUAUCAUUUGUUUUGGCUCAAGUAUUUACUAAAAUAUCAUAAAAAGAAGAAUGCAUAUAAAACCCAUUCCCAGGCCCAAUAAACAUGUAAGUGGACCACUAAGCCCCAUUAUACGUGUCUAUUAUUUCCAGGCCCAAUAAGGAUAUGAAUAUCGUUUUUAACCCGUUUGUUAUUGUUUUGUUUUUUUAGCUUGAUUAUUUACAUAAUUGAUAUCUAAAGCCCACUUUUUUGUAAAAAUGACGUUCUUGGCCCAAUAAGCCAAAAAAUUACAAUUAAGGCCCAAUUUUUGUAAGAAUAACACUUUAAUCUCUGAUUUUGUUAAAAAGUUGUGUUGACGACUACUUUGAGAUAAAAAUAGCAUUUUAAACCCAUUUUUGUCAAAAAUAUCAUUUUGGCUUGGUUUUUGUGAAAAUACACAUUUUUCUGGUUUUUGGCUUUUCCGACCUAGUUUUUAGAAAAUUUGUAGAAAAUUCAUCGUAAGUCGAAAACUAGAUCCGUAAAUUCUGGAAGUUUGAAAAUUUUGUCUACUUUGUUCACAAUUUUUUUCAUAAUUUUUGAUGGCAUCAAACUAGUGUGAAAUUACUCAUCUUCACAGGUUGGUCCGAAAUUAUUUCAAAUAUGAUAGGCAGUUUUGUAAAAUUCGCAAAAAAUUGUAGAAAACUCGUAUGAAAACGUGAGAGUAGUCAUUUUAAAGGUAUAAAUCUGAAAUUUAUCCAUGUAAAAUAGUUUUGUAAAAUACUUCCAUUUGGAGGGUCAAAACAGUCCGAGAAUGGACCAAAACUUUUUUGUCAAUGGCUGUUUUGUGAGUUUAGUUUAUAGAUCUUUGAACCCAACACUUAUUUUUGCUAUAUCAAGUAUACAAAUCCCAGAUCUACAAGUUUACAUGUAUUUUAUGAGAUAAAACAUACUUUUCUCAUGUUUCAUAUAAAGAUCCUAGUGAUACACUUCAAGUUUCUUAACAUAUUUUUAGAUUAGUGAAGAAAUCAACACAUAAUCACCAAAUGUUUCAAGGAAAUCACACAUAAUCAUGCAUAUACACAUAGAUCUACACAAAUCAACUUGUAUUCUCCCCUAAAAACAAGUAAAAACCAAAAACAAGGGGGUAUGAACUCACCUUUUCUUGUUGUUCUCGGUUUCUAGGUGAAGAAGUGAAGAGAUCUUGGUCCUAGCAAGCUUCUUGAAGAACUUUGGAACUUAGAUGGCUCUAAGAUGCAUGAUUCACGAAAACAUAGUGGUAAGAGGAGUGAAUGAGGUUAUAGAUGAAGUAUGUUACUUAGGUUUGUAAGAUCUUACCACUACGUGAAACUUGAAAUGAUUUUCUUGAUGAUUUCCCUUGCAUCCAUGGUUUUUCUUGAAAGGAAAUGGGUGGAGAUCUGUUGUGUGCUUGAGAGAAUAUUGGUUAAGUUUGAGAAGAGAGAUAGAUUAGAGUGAGAGAGAGAUGGAUGAGAGUUAGAGAAGAGAGGGGAGAGAGGUGACUUGCAUGGAAGUAUGGGGGAUCUAACAUGGAUACAUGGUGGACAAUAUGGAGGUGGCACCUCCAAAGUCAACCCUCUCCUUUCCAUUUCAUUUUUCAUUCAUUUUUUUUGAUGUUGGGCCAAGAUUAAUGGGCCAAGAGGAGUAAGGAUGGAAUAGUGUGUGACCAUUAAUAUCUAGCUACGAUUUUUGGAACCUAAACAUAAAAUUUUCAGCCCAUUGGGCUCAUUAGAUAACUCACGGCCCAUUAUGGUAUAAAGGAAUGGGCUUAUGGCCCAUUAGGGCUAAUUAAUUCAUUUAUGGCCCAUCAUGGUCCAAAUGGAGGUAGAGUGAAUCAUUCUAGGCCCAAAUGGCCCAAAAUGUUAUAGAUUGACAAAUUGAUGAUUUAUUGGUCCCUUAGGCCCAAUAAGAGAAUUCUAGUCUGUAAGGAACUUGAGUCGGGAUUUCUAGGGUUUCCAAACCUUAUUUGAACAUAUGAGAUUGUAUUUGAACGAUAAUAGAGUAUAGGCUUUUACAAUGGAUGAUGUUUAUAUGAGAAUAAAAUUUCCUAGCUAAAAAUGCUAGUUGUCACACACUAGGUCUGUAGAAGAGGUAACCAAAGGAUCUUUGUGGGUAGCCGAUGAAAAUACACCUCUCGCUUUGGGGUUCUAGCUUAUCAUGAGACUCGCGCCUCACAAAAGCCUCGCAACCCCAAAUCUUGAUGUGGUCUAGUUUGGGUACUUUACCAGUCCACAUCUCAUGAGGAGUUUUGGCAGCUUUCUUUGUAGGGACUAGUUUCAGGAUAUAGGCGGCAGUCUCUAAGGAUUACCCCCAGAAUGAGAUUGGUAGCGAAGCUCGACACAUCAUGGAAUGAACAAUAUCCAACGAGGUUUGAUUACGCCUCUCAGCUACACCAUUCAGCCGCGGUGUGUGACAUCCCAAUUUUCUCGGCUAGAAAAGACCGAUUUUGUUUAUGCUUUAUAAAAAUCAGAGUACCUCUUUUAAUAAAAAUGUUGCGGAAUUUGUUCCCAGUAAAACAUGAUUAAUACGUUAUCAAAGAAUUUCCUAAGAAAAGU
This 3750-nucleotide long non-coding RNA is filed under the name Lactuca sativa (garden lettuce). RNAcentral describes it as "long non-coding RNA (LSAT_LNC008985)". The record is from RNAcentral. Lineage: Eukaryota; Viridiplantae; Streptophyta; Magnoliopsida; Asterales; Asteraceae.